RNAcentral lists this ribosomal RNA (514 nucleotides) under uncultured bacterium. Its description in RNAcentral is "bacterial SSU rRNA". It matches the Rfam family "Bacterial small subunit ribosomal RNA", at positions 28 to 535 of the family's 1533-position model. The record is from RNAcentral.
GACGAACGCUGGCGGCGUGCCUAACACAUGCAAGUCGAGCGAAGUAUAUCUGAGGGAAAUUUUCGGAUGGAACUUAGAUAUAUCUUAGCGGCGGACGGGUGAGUAACGCGUGAGCAACCUGCCUUUCACAAAGGGAUAGCCUCGGGAAACUGGGAUUAAUACCAUAUAAAACUUGUCUUUCGCAUGAAAGAAAAGUCAAAGCGAAUAAGCGGUGAAAGAUGGGCUCGCGUCCUAUUAGCUAGUUGGUGAGGUAACGGCUCACCAAGGCGACGAUAGGUAGCCGGCCUGAGAGGGUGAACGGCCACACUGGAACUGAGACACGGUCCAGACUCCUACGGGAGGCAGCAGUGGGGGAUAUUGCACAAUGGAGGAAACUCUGAUGCAGCGACGCCGCGUGAGUGAAGAGGCCUUCGGGUCGUAAAGCUCUGUCCUAGGGGAAGAUAAUGACGGUACCUAGGAGGAACGCCCGGACUAACGUACGUGCCAGCACGCCGACGGUAAAAGUACUACUACG